Molecule: ribosomal RNA, 669 nt
Filed under: Triticum aestivum (bread wheat)
Lineage: Eukaryota; Viridiplantae; Streptophyta; Magnoliopsida; Poales; Poaceae
Description: partial small subunit ribosomal RNA
Source: RNAcentral
AUGGCUGAGCAAGGAGGAGAAGAAUACAAGGUGCUCAUCGAUCAGACCGGCAAAGACGCCGGUGAACCGCACCAAGACGCCGACGAUGACGACGCCGACGACACCUCGAGCUUCAUCCUGGUCAUGAACCUCGUCCUGAGCGGCACGGCCCGGCUCAACGUGCUCCUCCCGACGGCCACCAUCCUGACCUUCGCCAUCUUCGCGCCGCUGGUCACCGACGACGGCAAGUGCGCGCGCGUCAACCGCGUGCUCACCGGCGCGUUCGUGCUGCUCUGCGCCGCCUCCUGCGUCUUCUUCACGCUCACCGACAGCUUCCGCUCCGCCACGGGCCGGCUCCGCUACGGCGUGGCCACCCCGGCGGGCAUCGCGACGUUCUGCGCCGGCGGGGGGAGCCGGAGGAAGGCGCCGAGGGAGCCGGAGAGGUACAGGCUGCGGUGGUCGGACCUGUUCCACACCGCGCUGUCCCUGGUGGCCUUCGUGACCUUCGCCGCCUCCCACCACGACAUCGUCCGGUGCUACUACCCCGGCGCGCCCAGGAAGGUGGUGAACACCGUGCCCCUCGUCGUCGGCUUCGUCGUCAGCCUCCUCUUCGUCAUGUUCCCUUCCAAGAGGAGGGGGAUCGGCUACCCGUUCCUGCUCCGGACCGACCUCGUGUACCUACGGCGCUGA